This is a non-coding RNA of Pelobates cultripes (western spadefoot toad), 428 nucleotides long. The record is from the annotation of a GenBank genome assembly. NCBI's taxonomy places the organism in Eukaryota, Metazoa, Chordata, Amphibia, Anura, Pelobatidae.
CUUUGUGGGAGAUGGGCUUAUAAAAAUCUCCCAUGUAAAAUGAAAAUUGAUUGUACCUUGGGAAUGGUGAUGCCCGCCAUUUACCCUACUAAAACUUUACCUGAAAACACCCAUCAUCAUUGGCAAAAGCGAGACACCGAUUUAUCAGGAUUUAAAAUGGACAGAAACAUGCAGUUUUGGGUCUCUCUCUUUCCAAUGGUGGGGGUGGGAAUGAUGAUAACUAAUUUAAAUCUUUUAAUUGAUACUAUUGAUGAUGCCUUUAAUAGCACAGGACUUGCUAUCAGUUUGCUUAAUUAUGAGCAAGAACAGAUUAGACAGGUAGCUUUGCAGAACAGAAUAGCCUUAGAUUACUUGCUUGCAGCAGAAGGAGGAGUAUGUAAAAGAAUAGGAGGCAAGGCAUGUUGUGUGUGGAUAAAAGAUAAAUCAGG